This 743-nucleotide ribosomal RNA is filed under the name uncultured bacterium. RNAcentral describes it as "bacterial SSU rRNA". It matches the Rfam family "Bacterial small subunit ribosomal RNA", at positions 54 to 787 of the family's 1533-position model. The record is from RNAcentral.
CAUGCAAGUCGAGGGGCAGCGAGAUUGAAGCUUGCUUCAAUUGUCGGCGACCGGCGGACGGGUGCGUAACGCGUAUGCAACCUACCCAUAACAGGGGGAUAACACUGAGAAAUUGGUACUAAUACCCCAUAACAUCUCGAGUGGCAUCACUUGGGGUUGAAAGCUUCGGUGGUUAUGGAUGGGCAUGCGUUGUAUUGGCUAGUUGGAGAGGUAACGGCUCACCAAGGCGACGAUACAUAGGGGGACUGAGAGGUUAACCCCCCACAUUGGUACUGAGACACGGACCAAACUCCUACGGGAGGCAGCAGUGAGGAAUAUUGGUCAAUGGACGGAAGUCUGAACCAGCCAUGCCGCGUGCAGGAUGACGGCUCUAUGAGUUGUAAACUGCUUUUGUACGAGGGUAAACCCGAAUACGUGUAUUCGGCUGAAAGUAUCGUACGAAUAAGGAUCGGCUAACUCCGUGCCAGCAGCCGCGGUAAUACGGAGGAUCCAAGCGUUAUCCGGAUUUAUUGGGUUUAAAGGGUGCGUAGGCGGUCAGAUAAGUUAGAGGUGAAAUUCCGGUGCUUAACACCGGCGCUGCCUCUAAUACUGUUUGACUAGAGAGUAGUUGCGGUAGGCGGAAUGUAUGGUGUAGCGGUGAAAUGCUUAGAGAUCAUACAGAACACCGAUUGCGAAGGCAGCUUACCAAGCUAUAUCUGACGUUGAGGCACGAAAGCGUGGGGAGCAAACAGGAUUAGAUACCC